This 244-nucleotide ribosomal RNA is filed under the name uncultured bacterium. RNAcentral's name for it is "partial 16S ribosomal RNA". It matches the Rfam family "Bacterial small subunit ribosomal RNA", at positions 89 to 334 of the family's 1533-position model. The record is from RNAcentral.
UGGCGACCGGCGCACGGGUGAGUAACACGUAUCCAACCUGCCGAUGACUCGGGGAUAGCCUUUCGAAAGAAAGAUUAAUACCCGAUGGCAUAGCUCUUCCGCAUGGUAGAACUAUUAAAGAAUUUCGGUCAUCGAUGGGGAUGCGUUCCAUUAGGUUGUUGGCGGGGUAACGGCCCACCAAGCCUUCGAUGGAUAGGGGUUCUGAGAGGAAGGUCCCCCACAUUGGAACUGAGACACGGUCCAA